RNAcentral lists this ribosomal RNA (392 nucleotides) under uncultured bacterium. RNAcentral's name for it is "partial 16S ribosomal RNA". It matches the Rfam family "Bacterial small subunit ribosomal RNA", at positions 523 to 914 of the family's 1533-position model. The record is from RNAcentral.
AUACGUAGGGAGCGAGCGUUGUCCGGAAUUACUGGGUGUAAAGGGUGCGUAGGCGGGACUGCAAGUCAGAUGUGAAAUGCCGGGGCUCAACCCCGGAGCUGCAUUUGAAAUUGUGGUUCUUGAGUGAGGUAGAGGUAAGCGGAAUUCCUAGCGUAGCGGUGAAAUGCGUAGAUAUUAUGAGGAACAUCGGUGGCGAAGGCGGCUUACUGGGCCGUUACUGACGCUGAGGCACGAAAGCGUGGGGAGCAAACAGGAUUAGAUACCCUGGUAGUCCACGCUGUAAACGAUGAUGACUAGGUGUGGGGGGACUGAACCCUUCCGUGCCGCAGUUAACACAAUAAGUCAUCCACCUGGGGAGUACGGCCGCAAGGUUGAAACUCAAAUGAAUUGAC